Non-coding RNA from Vigna umbellata (rice bean), 292 nucleotides. The record is from RefSeq and is a predicted model, not a curated record. Lineage: Eukaryota; Viridiplantae; Streptophyta; Magnoliopsida; Fabales; Fabaceae.
UUCUAAUAAAGAUUUAUUUAUGCUGUGGUGCCGUAACUGUUGUAGGUUGGACUCUUAAGAGAAAUUUCCAAUAGAUCAAAUAAUGCAGAGCUAAAGUUGUUUUUGGAACUAGAAAUAGGGAAGGAUUUGCAGCCUAUUCCUCCUCCUGAGAAGUCAAAAGAGAAUCUGUUGCUUUUCUUUAAACUUUAUGAGCCUUCAAAUGAAAAGCUUAGGUAUGUUGGACGGCUCUUUGUGAUGUUCAGUGGGAAGCCAGUAGAUAUAUUGGUAAAACUAAAUGAAAUGGCUGGAUAUG